UUAGAAGCAGCCACUCAUUCAAAGAGUGCGUAAUAGCUCACUGGUCGAGUGAUCCUGCGCCGAAGAUUUCCGGGGCUAAAACUUACUACCGAAGCUACGGCAUCAUUAUGAUGGGUAGGGGAGCUUCACAUACGGGUUGAAGCAUGACCGUAAGGACAUGUGGACAGUAUGGGAGUGAGAAUGUUGGCAUGAGUAGCGAGAUGU
Molecule: ribosomal RNA, 204 nt
Filed under: Clostridioides difficile
Lineage: Bacteria; Bacillati; Bacillota; Clostridia; Peptostreptococcales; Peptostreptococcaceae
Description: partial 23S ribosomal RNA
Rfam family: Bacterial large subunit ribosomal RNA
Source: RNAcentral